This 473-nucleotide ribosomal RNA is filed under the name uncultured marine eukaryote. RNAcentral describes it as "SSU rRNA". It matches the Rfam family "Eukaryotic small subunit ribosomal RNA", at positions 841 to 1319 of the family's 1831-position model. The record is from RNAcentral.
UUGUUGGUCUUUAGGACAAGAGUAAUGAUUGAUAGGGACAGUUGGGGGUGCUAGUAUUGAAUGGCCAGAGGUGAAAUUCUUGGAUUCAUUCAAGACUAACUAAUGCGAAAGCAUUCACCAAGGAUGUCUUCUUUAAUCAAGAACGAAAGUUGGGGGAUCGAAGACGAUCAGAUACCGUCGUAGUCUCAACCAUAAACUAUACCGACUAGGGAUGAGUGGACGUUGUUUUUUACUGACUCCAUUCGCACCUUAUGAGAAAUCAAAGUCUUUGGGUUCCGGGGGGAGUAUGGUCGCAAGGCUGAAACUUAAAGGAAUUGACGGAAGGGCACCACCAGGAGUGGAGCCUGCGGCUUAAUUUGACUCAACACGGGAAAACUUACCAGGUCCGGACAUAGCAAGGAUUGACAGAUUGAAGAUCUUUCUUGAUUCUGUGGGUGGUGGUGCAAGGGCGAAUUCCACAGUGGAUAUCAAGC